RNAcentral lists this small RNA (652 nucleotides) under human gut metagenome. The record is from RNAcentral.
AAUGAACAGCGGCGCAGUAUCCUAGUCAGAUCCGACGUCUUGUAAGGAGGGCCUAAAAAUCCUUCAAAGGGCAUAACUGUGAAGUCUCUGGUGCCUGCUUCUUACGCCCAGUUUGGGGUGGGUGCUGGAGGGAGGUGCGGAAUGACCCCGCGCCUGCGGAUUCAGGGCGCCCUCCAAUGGCAUGGAGGACCCGACCCUGCUUUCGUGGAGACCUGUUGUUGUGCGCAGGCGGACUCCCGUUGUGGUAUCGACCUGCGUACGAGACAGAUUGUGAACCUGCAAUGCGGUGCUACCCGGCUUUACCGCCGUAACGCUGUGUGCAGAGUAGCCUGCCUUGCGUGGAUUGGGUGGAUAGGGGAGCUCAUGCAUCCGCUUCUCAGGCCAGAGAAACGGGUGUUAUUCCCUUGAAACCCUGUCUGCAAAAGAGGCUAAGAGACGCUCGGACUGCUGUGGAAAUCACCUAGGCUGUCCCGCUUCGCGGGGACGCCGGAGGGGCUGCAGUGCGGACUAAGUGGCAGUCGGGUACCGUGACACGGCAACAUCACGGCACAGCGCUGAAAGGGAAACCGCCUGAUCGGCGACGAGAGGUGCGCUGUGGGGAAAUCCAACCCGUACCUAAGCCGUAAGAUUUACUUCCGGCGCCGCCCUGUUC